CCUACGGGUGGCAGCAGUAGGGAAUAUUGCACAAUGGGGGAAACCCUGAUGCAGCAACGCCGCGUGGAGGAUGAAGGCUUUCGGAUUGUAAACUCCUUUUGUCAGAGAAGAUAACGACGGUAUCUAACGAAUAAGCACCGGCUAACUCCGUGCCAGCAGCCGCGGUCAUACGGAGGGUGCAAGCGUUACUCGGAAUCACUGGGCGUAAAGAGCGCGUAGGCGGGAUAGCAAGUCGGAUGUGAAAUCCUAGGGCUUAACCUUAGAACUGCAUUUGAAACUGGUAUUCUAGAGUAUGGGAGAGGUAGGUAGAAUUCUUGGUGUAGGGGUAAAAGCCGUAGAGAUCAGGAGGAAUAAUCGUGGCGAAGGCGACCGGCUAGAACAUAACUGACGCUGAGGCGCGAAAGCGUGGGGAGCAAACAGGAUUAGAUACCCCUGUAGUC
Molecule: ribosomal RNA, 440 nt
Filed under: uncultured bacterium
Lineage: Bacteria
Description: partial 16S ribosomal RNA
Rfam family: Bacterial small subunit ribosomal RNA
Source: RNAcentral